This 480-nucleotide ribosomal RNA is filed under the name Penicillium toxicarium. RNAcentral's name for it is "eukaryotic LSU rRNA". It matches the Rfam family "Eukaryotic large subunit ribosomal RNA", at positions 133 to 628 of the family's 3401-position model. Lineage: Eukaryota; Fungi; Ascomycota; Eurotiomycetes; Eurotiales; Aspergillaceae. The record is from RNAcentral.
GGGGUCCGCAUUGUAAUUUGCAGAGGAUGCUUCGGGAGUGGCCCCCAUCUAAGUGCUCUGGAACGGGCCGUCAUAGAGGGUGAGAAUCCCGUAUGGGAUGGGGUGUCCGCGACCAUGUGAAGCUCCUUCGACGAGUCGAGUUGUUUGGGAAUGCAGCUCUAAAUGGGUGGUAAAUUUCAUCUAAAGCUAAAUAUUGGCCGGAGACCGAUAGCGCACAAGUAGAGUGAUCGAAAGAUGAAAAGCACUUUGAAAAGAGAGUUAAAAAGCACGUGAAAUUGUUGAAAGGGAAGCGCUUGCGACCAGACUCGCCUACGGGGUUCAGCCGGUAUUCGUACCGGUGUACUUCCCCGUGGGCGGGCCAGCGUCGGUUUGGGCGGCCGGUCAAAGGCCCUCGGAAUGUAACGCCUCUCGGGGCGUCUUAUAGCCGAGGGUGCCAUGCGGCCAGCCCGGACCGAGGAACGCGCUUCGGCACGGACGCUG